CAGAAGAUAGUUUAGCUUAAGAAUGUCAGCUUUGGGAGUUGGCGGUGGAGGUUUAAAUCCUCUUCUUCUGA
This 71-nucleotide transfer RNA is filed under the name Mesitornis unicolor (brown roatelo). RNAcentral's name for it is "tRNA-Pro". It matches the Rfam family "tRNA". From Rfam's summary of the family: Transfer RNA (tRNA) molecules are approximately 80 nucleotides in length. Their secondary structure includes four short double-helical elements and three loops (D, anti-codon, and T loops). The record is from RNAcentral. Lineage: Eukaryota; Metazoa; Chordata; Aves; Mesitornithiformes; Mesitornithidae.